This 491-nucleotide ribosomal RNA is filed under the name uncultured Fusibacter sp. RNAcentral describes it as "bacterial SSU rRNA". It matches the Rfam family "Bacterial small subunit ribosomal RNA", at positions 897 to 1382 of the family's 1533-position model. The record is from RNAcentral. Lineage: Bacteria; Bacillati; Bacillota; Clostridia; Eubacteriales; Fusibacteraceae.
AAACUUAAAUAGAAUUGACGGGGACCCGCACAAGCAGCGGAGCAUGUGGUUUAAUUCGAAGCAACGCGAAGAACCUUACCAGAUCUUGACAUCCAAUUGACCAUUCUUUUAAUCGAGAUUUUGCCUUCGGGUACAAUUGAGACAGGUGGUGCAUGGUUGUCGUCAGCUCGUGUCGUGAGAUGUUGGGUUAAGUCCCGCAACGAGCGCAACCCUUGUGUUUUAGUUGCAAACAGGUCAAGCUGUGCACUCUAGACAGACUGCCGUGGACAACACGGAGGAAGGUGGGGAUGACGUCAAAUCAUCAUGCCCCUUAUGAUCUGGGCUACACACGUGCUACAAUGGCCGGUACAACGGGCAGCGAAGGAGCGAUCCGGAGCGAAUCCUAAAAAGCCGGUCCCAGUUCGGAUUGCAGGCUGAAACUCGCCUACAUGAAGUUGGAGUUGCUAGUAAUCGCGAAUCAGAAUGUCGCGGUGAAUGCGUUCCCGGGUCUU